RNAcentral lists this ribosomal RNA (261 nucleotides) under Triticum aestivum (bread wheat). RNAcentral's name for it is "partial small subunit ribosomal RNA". The record is from RNAcentral. Lineage: Eukaryota; Viridiplantae; Streptophyta; Magnoliopsida; Poales; Poaceae.
AUGGCACUGCAUACCCUGAAUCUGGCCAGGGGUGGCAAGUUCAAAAGAAAUGACAAGAAGGAUGUUGCUCAAAUUUUUCAAGUUGGCGUUCAACAUAUUCGGAAAAUUUGGACGACAGCAAAGGAACAAAUAGCGCUUGGUCGGGAGGUGGAUGUAUCCAGCAAAAGGAAAGGAAGAUGCGGAAGAAAAGGAAAGGAUGAUACUCUAUCCCAAAUCCCCACAGUUCCAUUGAACAGAAGGUCGACUCUCAGGUCACUUGCU